This 1482-nucleotide ribosomal RNA is filed under the name uncultured Bordetella sp. Its description in RNAcentral is "partial 16S-23S ribosomal RNA intergenic spacer". It matches the Rfam family "Bacterial small subunit ribosomal RNA". The record is from RNAcentral. Lineage: Bacteria; Pseudomonadati; Pseudomonadota; Betaproteobacteria; Burkholderiales; Alcaligenaceae.
GUUUCGAUUACAAACUAGAUUGAACGCUGGCGGGAUACUUUACGGCAUGCAAGUCGAACUGGCAGCACGUUCGGUCUGGUGGCGAGUGGCGAACGGGUGAGUAAUGUAUCGGAGACGUGCCUAGUAGCGGGGGAUAACUACGCGAAAGCGUAGCUAAUACCGCAUACGCCCUUCGGGGAAAGCGGGGGACCUUCGGGCCUCACGCACUAUUAGUGACCGAUAUCGGAUUAGCUAGUUGGUGGGAGUAACGGCUCACCUAGGCAGCGAUCCGUAGCUGGUUUGAAGGACGACCAGCCACACUGGGACUGAGACACAGCCCAGACUCCUACAGGAAGCGACAGUGGGGAAUUUUGGACAAUGGAAACCUGAUCCAGCCAUCCCGCGUGUGCGAUGAAGGCCUUCGGGUUUGUAAAGCACUUUUGGCAGGAAAGAAACGGCCUGGGAUAAUACCCCGUGCAACUGACGAAAACACCUGCAGAAUAAGCACCGGCUAACUACGUGCCAGCAGCCGCGGUAACGUAGGGUGCAAGCGUUAAUCGGAAUUACUGGGCGUAAAGCGUGCGCAGGCGGUUCGGAAGAAGAUGUGAAAUCAGAGCUUAACUUUGGAACUGCAUUUUUAACUACCGAGCUAGAGUGUGUCAGAGGGAGGUGGAAUUCCGCGUGUAGCAGUGAAGCCGUGAUAACCAUGGAGGAGCACCGAUGGCGAAGGCAGCCUCCUGGGACAACACACUGACGCUCGUGCACGAAAGCAUUAAGGAGCAAACGGGAUUAGAUACCCUGGUAGUCCACGCCCUAAACGAUGUCAACUAGCUGUUGGGGCCUUCGGGCGCUUGGUAGCGCAGCUAACGCGUGAAGUUGACCGCCUGGGAGUACGGUCGCAAGAUUAAAGCAAAGGAAUUGACGGGGACGCACAAGCGGUGGAUGAUGUGGAUUAAUUCGAUGCAACGCGAAAACCAUAUACCUACCCUUGACAUGUCUGGAAUCCCGAAGGGUUGGGAGUGCUCGCAAGAGAACCGGAACACAGGUGCUGCAUGGCUGUCGUCAGCUCGUGUCGUGAGAUGUUGGGUUAAGUCCCGCAACGAACGCAACCCCUUGUCAUUAGUUGCUACGAGGCACUCUAAUGAGACUGCCGGUGACAAACCGGAGAAUUAGGGGAUGACGUCAAGUCUCAUGGCCCUUAUGGGUAGGGCUUCACACGUCAUACAAUGGUCGGGACAGAGGGUCGCCAGCCCGCGAGGGGGAGCCAAUCCCAGAAACCCGAUCGUAGUCCGGACCGCCGGAAGUCUGCACCAGCUCGACUGCGUGAAGUCCGGAAUCGCUAGUAAUCGCGGAUCAGCAUGUCGCGGUAGAUACGUUCCCGGGUCUUGUACACACCGCCCGUCACACCAUGGGAGUGGGUUUUACCAGAAGUAGUUAACCUAACCGUAAAGGAGGGCGAUUACCACGGUAGGAUUCAUGACUGGGGUGAAGUCGUAACAAUUC